GCCUGCCUCGGCCACCAGCACCCUCAGGUCCCCAUAUUCUACUUUUAUCCAGCUCAGGAGCCGCCGCAGGUCUGGAGUUACAGUUUGUCCAUGGUGGAUCAGAUCUCGGCCCAGACGGAGAUUAUUGGGCCCAAACGACAGAGCAAAAAAAUCUGCAGUUUUCUUCACCCAAAGUUUCUCCUCAGGCGUGAACGAGGGCAGGAGGUGGCCAUACUUCUUUCUCAGAGAGUCAGGAUAGUUCCCCUCACCGAAAAUGGGACCGGCAAACCAGCCAAGAACAGCCUCUAUUGACUGCUGGCAAAGCUCAACGCUGGCAGUGGUGGCUUCACCUCUUUGGGGUUCAACCCAGUGGGACCCUAAAACUAUAGACACUUUACCUUUUUGAGUUGCCCGGAAGUGAGAGUCAUAGAUGUGCCAUGCUCUGGCAUGAGCCUGAAAGGAAAUUACAGAACUUGUUACAUUCAGAUGUCUACAGAACAAAGUACAAAUCAAUUUAUGGCCAAAUAUCUGCGAAAAAAAAAAAAAAA
This is a long non-coding RNA of Oryzias melastigma (Indian medaka), 527 nucleotides long. RefSeq lists it as uncharacterized. The record is from RefSeq and is a predicted model, not a curated record. Lineage: Eukaryota; Metazoa; Chordata; Actinopteri; Beloniformes; Adrianichthyidae. The transcript is spliced from 2 exons.